RNAcentral lists this ribosomal RNA (497 nucleotides) under uncultured bacterium. RNAcentral describes it as "partial 16S ribosomal RNA". It matches the Rfam family "Bacterial small subunit ribosomal RNA", at positions 28 to 507 of the family's 1533-position model. The record is from RNAcentral.
GACGAACGCUGGCGGCGUGCCUAAUACAUGCAAGUAGAACGCUGAAGCUUGGUGCUUGCACCGAGCGGAUGAGUUGCGAACGGGUGAGUAACGCGUAGGUAACCUGCCUGGUAGCGGGGGAUAACUAUUGGAAACGAUAGCUAAUACCGCAUAAGAGUAGAUGUUGCAUGACAUUUGCUUAAAAGGUGCAAUUGCAUCACUACCAGAUGGACCUGCGUUGUAUUAGCUAGUUGGUGAGGUAACGGCUCACCAAGGCAACGAUACAUAGCCGACCUGAGAGGGUGAUCGGCCACACUGGGACUGAGACACGGCCCAGACUCCUACGGGAGGCAGCAGUAGGGAAUCUUCGGCAAUGGACGGAAGUCUGACCGAGCAACGCCGCGUGAGUGAAGAAGGGUUUCGGAUCGUAAAGCUCUGUUGUAAGAGAAGAACGAGUGUGAGAGUGGAAAGUUCACACUGUGACGGUAGCUUACCAGAAAGGGACGGCUAACUACGUG